This is a non-coding RNA of Pelobates cultripes (western spadefoot toad), 208 nucleotides long. The record is from the annotation of a GenBank genome assembly. NCBI's taxonomy places the organism in Eukaryota, Metazoa, Chordata, Amphibia, Anura, Pelobatidae.
AGCUAUUUGCAAUAAUUAUUGUUAUGGUUCUGGUCCUUGCUCUACUUGUUUAUGCUAUUUUUAAGACUAUUGUAUUCUGCAUUUACAAACAUACACGCAACACUGUUCCUGCAAAAUCCCCAGCUUGCUAUGAUGAAUAUAAGUUUAUGGUACUGGUCGAAUGCCUAGUCUUAUGCUAUGGAAAUAGUGGCCGAAGACAUAAUGAAAG